RNAcentral lists this ribosomal RNA (253 nucleotides) under uncultured bacterium. RNAcentral's name for it is "partial 16S ribosomal RNA". It matches the Rfam family "Bacterial small subunit ribosomal RNA", at positions 524 to 776 of the family's 1533-position model. The record is from RNAcentral.
UACAGAGGUCUCGAGCGUUGUUCGGAUUCAUUGGGCGUAAAGGGCGCGUAGGCGGCGGGGUAAGUCUGGUGUGAAAUCUAGGAGCUCAACUCCUAAACUGCACUGGAUACUGCUCUGCUAGAGGACUGGAGGGGAGACUGGAAUUCACGGUGUAGCAGUGAAAUGCGUAGAUAUCGUGAGGAACACCAGUGGCGUAAGCGGCUUGCUGGGCUGUAACUGACACUGAGGAACGAAAGCCAGGGGAGCGAAUGGG